CGCAUCUGUGCAUGCAGCAUAUCAAUAAGCGGAGGAAAAGAAACUAACAAGGAUUCCCUCAGUAACGGCGAGUGAAGCGGGAAGAGCUCAAAUUUGAAAUCUUGAAAGGUCACCUUUCACGAAUUGUAGUUUAAAGAAGUGUUUUCUGUUACGAUCGUAAUAUAAGUUCUUUGGAAUAGGACAUCACAGAGGGUGAGAAUCCCGUCUAUGAUUGCGAUUUGUAGCUUUGUGAUACACUUUCAAAGAGUCGGGUUGUUUGGGAAUGCAGUCCAAAACGGGAGGUAAAUUUCUUCUAAGGCUAAAUAUUGGCGAGAGACCGAUAGCGAACAAGUACCGUGAGGGAAAGAUGAAAAGAACUUUGAAAAGAGAGUUAAAUAGUACGUGAAAUUGUCAAAAGGGAAGCGUUUAACAGCCAGUGUUGUUUUCUGAAAAUCAACCUCUGUUAGCUUUAUGCAUGUUUGUUUAGACCUAAUCAGCUAUCUUGCAUGUUCUAUUGAUUGCAGUGGUGCACUUUUCAGUUUACAGGUCAACAUCAGUUUUUUUACCGUAAAAAAGUUAAAGAAAGGUAGCUCAUGGCUCCGGUCGUGAGUGUUAUAGUCUUUUUCCUAUGCGGUAGGAGAGACUGAGGUCUGCAGUGUAGGCUAUUUGGCUAGAUACUCAGGUGCUAUGUGAUACCAUUUCAUAAACAACUUGUUGAUUAUGUUUUGUCUAUUGCAUACUCGCUUGUACUAUCAUACCUACGCUUAGGAUGUUGACGAUCAGCUGAGCGCG
RNAcentral lists this ribosomal RNA (771 nucleotides) under uncultured Neocallimastigales. RNAcentral describes it as "partial large subunit ribosomal RNA". The stretch from base 1 to 661 matches the Rfam family "Eukaryotic large subunit ribosomal RNA", at positions 26 to 664 of the family's 3401-position model. Lineage: Eukaryota; Fungi; Neocallimastigomycota; Neocallimastigomycetes; Neocallimastigales. The record is from RNAcentral.